AUUGAACGCUGGCGGCAGGCCUAACACAUGCAAGUCGAGCGGAUGAAGGGAGCUUGCUCCUGGAUUCAGCGGCGGACGGGUGAGUAAUGCCUAGGAAUCUGCCUGGUAGUGGGGGAUAACGUCCGGAAACGGGCGCUAAUACCGCAUACGUCCUGAGGGAGAAAGUGGGGGAUCUUCGGACCUCACGCUAUCAGAUGAGCCUAGGUCGGAUUAGCUAGUUGGUGGGGUAAAGGCCUACCAAGGCGACGAUCCGUAACUGGUCUGAGAGGAUGAUCAGUCACACUGGAACUGGGACACGGUCCAGACUCCUACGGGAGGCAGCAGUGGGGAAUAUUGGACAAUGGGCGAAAGCCUGAUCCAGCCAUGCCGCGUGUGUGAAGAAGGUCUUCGGAUUGUAAAGCACUUUAAGUUGGGAGGAAGGGCAGUAAGCUAAUACCUUGCUGUUUUGACGUUACCAACAGAAUAAGCACCGGCUAACUUCGUG
Molecule: ribosomal RNA, 484 nt
Filed under: uncultured bacterium
Lineage: Bacteria
Description: partial 16S ribosomal RNA
Rfam family: Bacterial small subunit ribosomal RNA
Source: RNAcentral